Non-coding RNA from Alexandromys fortis (reed vole), 547 nucleotides. NCBI's taxonomy places the organism in Eukaryota, Metazoa, Chordata, Mammalia, Rodentia, Cricetidae. The record is from the annotation of a RefSeq genome assembly.
UAGUCAGUUCAUUGAACUCAGCAAGAAGAAUCUGGGUGUCUUCACCAUGGCUUGGACUCCAAUACUGUUCAUUUUCCUUCAUCAAUUAACAGGGACAUGUGCCCAGUUUGUGCUAACUCAGCCAAACUCUGUGUCUGGGUCUCUUGGGAGCACAGUCACCAUCUCCUGCAAGCGCAGCAGUGGUAACAUUGGAGGCAGCUAUGUGCACUGGUACCAGCAGCACAUUGGAAGUCCUCCCACCAAUGUGAUCUAUAAGGACAAUCAAAGACCAUCUGGGAUUCCUGAUCGGUUCUCUGGCUCCAUUGACAGAUCCUCCAACUCAGCCUCACUGACCAUCACUGCUCUGCAGAUUGAGGAUGAGGCUGACUACUUUUGCCAGUCUUAUGAUAGUGGCUAUAGCCACAGUGAUGAGAAUAAUGGGGAAGUAAGACCAAAACUCCCCAGAGUACCAGCUGUGAAAUCACUUGUAAAAAAGACCAUUGUUUUUUCAUGUUUCCUACAAAAUACUGGUAUUGGGAGUGCCAAAUCAUAAUUUUCUCUUGGUUCA